UACGUAGGGCGCAAGCGUUGUCCGGAAUUAUUGGGCGUAAAGAGCUCGUAGGCGGCCUGUUGCGUCCGCUGUGAAAUCCCGGGGCUCAACCCCGGGCCUGCAGUGGAUACGGGCUGGCUGGAGGCAGGCAGGGGAGAACGGAAUUCCUGGUGUAGCGGUGAAAUGCGCAGAUAUCAGGAGGUACACCGGUGGCGAAGGCGGUUCUCUGGGCCUGUUCUGACGCUGAGGAGCGAAAGCGUGGGGAGCGAACAGG
RNAcentral lists this ribosomal RNA (253 nucleotides) under uncultured bacterium. RNAcentral's name for it is "partial 16S ribosomal RNA". It matches the Rfam family "Bacterial small subunit ribosomal RNA", at positions 524 to 776 of the family's 1533-position model. The record is from RNAcentral.